UACGAAGGGGGGCUAGCGUUGUUCGGAAUUACUGGGCGUAAAGCGCACGUAGGCGGAUAUUUAAGUCAGGGGUGAAAUCCCAGAGCUCAACUCUGGAACUGCCUUUUGAUACUGGGUAUCUUGAGUAUGGAAGAGGUAAGUGGAAUUGCGAGUGUAGAGGUGAAAAUUCGUAGAUAUUCGCAGGAACACCAGUGGCGAAGGCGGCUUACUGGUCCAUAACUG
This 222-nucleotide ribosomal RNA is filed under the name uncultured bacterium. RNAcentral's name for it is "partial 16S ribosomal RNA". It matches the Rfam family "Bacterial small subunit ribosomal RNA", at positions 524 to 742 of the family's 1533-position model. The record is from RNAcentral.